This 72-nucleotide transfer RNA is filed under the name Patescibacteria group bacterium. RNAcentral describes it as "tRNA-Lys". It matches the Rfam family "tRNA". From Rfam's summary of the family: Transfer RNA (tRNA) molecules are approximately 80 nucleotides in length. Their secondary structure includes four short double-helical elements and three loops (D, anti-codon, and T loops). The record is from RNAcentral.
GGGCCCGUAGCUCAGUGGUAGAGCGACAGCCUUUUAAGCUGUGCGUCGGAGGUUCGAUCCCUCUCGGGCUCA